RNAcentral lists this ribosomal RNA (981 nucleotides) under Triticum aestivum (bread wheat). RNAcentral describes it as "partial small subunit ribosomal RNA". The record is from RNAcentral. Lineage: Eukaryota; Viridiplantae; Streptophyta; Magnoliopsida; Poales; Poaceae.
AUGCAUUCUGACCAUGAAUCUUUAAAACAUCUAAAGGGCCAACUAAAACUGAACUGUAGACAUGCAAAAUGGAGUGAGUUCAUAGAGUCUUUUCCUUAUAUUGUCAAGUACAAGAAAGGGAAGGAUAAUGUUGUUGCUGAUGCAUUGUCUAGGCGUCACAUUUUACUUUCCCAACUUGAUGUUAAAAUCCUUGGUUUCGAAAGCAUCAAAGAAUUGUAUGCUAACGACUCAUACUUCUCUAUACCAUUUUCAAAGUGCAACAAGGGAAAGGGAUGGGAGAAGUUUCACCUGCAUGAUGGAUUUCUAUUUCGAGCUAACAAAUUGUGCAUCCCAGAUUGUUCUGUUCGUUUGUUGCUCUUGCAGGAGGCUCACGCUGGUGGCCUCAUGGGACAUUUUGGAGCCAAGAAAACUGAGAGUGUGCUCGUUGAUCACUUCUUUUGGCCGCGCAUGAGACGUGAUGUGGAACGCUACGUGAUGAGAUGCGAGAUUUGUCACAAAGCUAAGUCCCGCUUGAAUCCUCAUGGUUUAUAUACCCCUCUAUCUAUUCUGAAUACUCUGUGGGAAGAUAUUUCUAUGGAUUUCAUUCUUGGUUUACCAUGGAAUAAGAGGGGGAGCGACUCGGUGUUUGUGGUAGUUGAUCGUUUUAGAAAAAUGGCACAUUUUAUCCCUUGUCAUAAGAGCGAUGAUGCUUCACACAUUGCUGAUAUAUUUUUCAAGGAAGUUGUGCGGCUACAUGGAAUACCACGCACGAUUGUGUCAGACCGUGACACCGAAUUUCUGAGCUACUUUUGGAAGACCUUGUGGGGAAAACUUGGCACCAAGCUCCUAUUUUCCAUGACAUGCCACCCACAAACCGAUGGACAGACUGAAGUUGUCAACCGAACGUUGUCCAUGCUGCUACGACCAGUCCUCAAGAAGAAUUUGAAGAUGUGGGAAGAGUGCCUACCUCAUGUGGAGUUCACGUAUAACAGGGAGGAAUGA